Long non-coding RNA from Vigna radiata var. radiata (mung bean), 829 nucleotides. RefSeq lists it as uncharacterized. Lineage: Eukaryota; Viridiplantae; Streptophyta; Magnoliopsida; Fabales; Fabaceae. The transcript is spliced from 3 exons. The record is from RefSeq and is a predicted model, not a curated record.
GUCUAUGACCUCCACCUUUCUGAACAAUUUUUCAAACCUAAAGCUUUUCUGAAAAAUUUCCCAAACCUAACUCACAUUUUUUCCAACAUUUCACUCCUCUCCCCCUUCUCUAUUUCGUCCGAGCAUUUUCCCCUUUUCGUCUUCACACAAACCUUUGUCAAACCUAAGUUCAAAAAACUUCUGAAUUUCUUUCCCCCAUUUCCUACCUUUCUUCUUUGGGCUAGCUAUUCUAUAGUUCCUUCGUGGUUUGUCUGUCUCCUCAUUUUAGCGUGGUCCUUUAGGUUAUCAUCUUCCUUAGCCCAUUAUCGUUCGUGGUCUCCGUUCUCAAAUCAUUGGUGGUUUCUGUCGCCGUUACAGUGCUCUCUGUUGCCAUCCACUUUUGCCACUGUUGUGGUCUCAGUUGCCCUGGCCGUUGCGGUGGCUGUUUCGUCGUCAAUGGUCAUGAUUGCCCUAGUCGUUGCGGUCGUCUUCUGCCCCUAAGAUUCAACAGGGUCUUCCAGCUAAUAUACUUGAAGGUAUCCAUGGUUGGGAACUCAGGACAGCUUUCCUGGACCAGGAUUUUUGCGGUGGAUGGAGAAAAUGGAUGAAGGCAGGGAACCUAUGAAGAAAGUUGCCAAUUAAUCAAAGCAAGAUCAAUCGUGGAAUGAUUCAAGUUGCCAUUUUUUCCACUUGAAGACAGAGAGAGGCCACAUUGCAUAUUACACAAUUUUUAAAGUCUGAAGAUUUUGUCUUAGCUUAUGCUCUUGUUAAGUCUAGUUGAAUUUCUUUAAACAUCAUGUAUUUUUUUUAUAUUUGUAUUGUAAUAGUCAAUAAAUGUAUUUUAUCUUAA